GAGAAACCAAAUGCGAAGGAGGGAGGAGGAAAAAACCGGGAGAAACACUCCCCUCCCUCCCUCUCUUCUCCCCUUCCUCCCCCCACCUGACCAGCGACAGAUCUCUCCACCUGCGGUUGCCUCCGCUCCCCGGCCCUCUCAGAUCCCGAUCUCCCAUGCCUCCGCCUCCCCUCCCCUAGCCCCCCCGCACGCGCAGCGAUGGCCUCGCGCCCGCCCCUCCGCACC
This 225-nucleotide long non-coding RNA is filed under the name Hordeum vulgare. RNAcentral's name for it is "long non-coding RNA (HVUL_LNC020808)". Lineage: Eukaryota; Viridiplantae; Streptophyta; Magnoliopsida; Poales; Poaceae. The record is from RNAcentral.